This 253-nucleotide ribosomal RNA is filed under the name uncultured bacterium. RNAcentral's name for it is "partial 16S ribosomal RNA". It matches the Rfam family "Bacterial small subunit ribosomal RNA", at positions 524 to 776 of the family's 1533-position model. The record is from RNAcentral.
UACGUAGGGUGCAAGCGUUAAUCGGAAUUACUGGGCGUAAAGCGUGCGCAGGCGGUGAUGUAAGACAGUUGUGAAAUCCCCGGGCUCAACCUGGGAACUGCAUCUGUGACUGCAUUGCUGGAGUGCGGCAGAGGGGGAUGGAAUUCCGCGUGUAGCAGUGAAAUGCGUAGAUAUGCGGAGGAACACCGAUGGCGAAGGCAAUCCCCUGGGCCUGCACUGACGCUGAUGCACGAAAGCGUGGGGAGCAAACAGG